AUGCAUGCUCUUCUUUAUCAUUUCCCCUAUUCCCUGGACAUUUUUCUUGUAGGUCCCAGAGACCACAUUGGAAGUAACUGCUAUCAAAGUGAGGUGUAUGCUGUUCUUCUUUUUCUGCAUAGAGGAAGGACAACACACUUGAAUAUUCAGUCUCAGGUUGGGAAUCAGAGAGAAACAGGCAGCUACAGGGGAGGUUAUGCUCUUUUCAGCCCUGUUAGUGCAGGAACUAAACAAACCACAAUGCACAAAACACUGCAGGCAAUCCAAGGUAUGAUGCAGAGCCUGUAGACAAUGAAAUGCAAGAAUGGUGGAAUAAUCACAUGAUAGAAACAAAAAUAUUCAUUUCUACAUGAGUGACUUUCUUUGGGCUACAGUGGAAGGAAUAUCUACCUGCCAGGGGGAUUCUUGAUGUUAAACAUUAAAGGAUGUGUAUUUGCAUUGAGGUAGUGUCUGAACUCCUGUCAUUGCUAUUCAAAUGUUGUGGGUCCUAUUCUGUUUUCAUUUUGUGCUAAGAAUUUUGUUGAAAGUAUGAAAACCAAACAGCUGAUUGUAGGAGGCAUGUACAAGCACUGCUCUUUGUAAAUCUGCACCUGCUCAGUGAGCACCAAUAGUUUGAUGUCAACACACAGCAGCUGAGCAUCUGCAGCAGAAACUUUUCUACAUUUUCUUGCCUCAGUAUUAUGCCCUGUUAUAGUUUGUUGUGCAGUAAAAGCCCCACUAAAAAGCAUAAAGAUUCAAAAGUUGUUUAGGUUUUGUAAUCACAAAAGCUUGUAACAGCCACUGUCUGUCCCACUUAAAUGGGAAGUCUUGCCAAAGAGAUGUCCCUUGCCCAGUCUCACCAAGAUGUUCUAGUGUGCAGCCACAUGAGGCUGGAGUCUUACUCUGUGGGUCAUGGCUGCAGUCAGCCCCUCUCCUCCAUGGUUGCAGGUUCUCUCCUCUCAUGAUUCAGAAUGCUCUGCCACUUGGUCUCUGUGUUUAGCAAGGUCUUGCCCUGCUGAGCUGUCUCUUCUGCCUUCCCUAAAGACUUUGUGCUGCUCUCAUGGACUGGCGACAGUUCCACUUCUGCCUUUUCUCCAAAUUUUUUAUGUAACAGUGACACUUCAUUUUUUGACUUUUCACACUUAAGCAGCUGGUGAAGGUUUCCUCCUACCCUGGAGCUGAUUAUGACCAUGUGCCCUUGUACCUUUUGCCUCAGCCUCUCUGGUGACUUCUGGCAUGCCUGUACCAGUGGAGAAGAUCAUCUCAAAACUUCACUUGCUGCAUACGGCUUUGAAGGGUUCUGUAAAGCCAGUAUCUGCAGGAUCUGUUGUGGAGUCUCACAACAGGCUGUUUUUUUACGUGCAAAGAACUCCUCUCUGCUCCUUACCUGUCUUGUCUUGAGGCAAGCCCGAGGUAAAGUCUGGGGAGGUGGCACCAUCUGCAGCUGUUGGGACAGGAUUGCUGUGUGAGAGCUUGGGUUAUGAUGGAGACAGCUCUACUACCCUCCUCCAGGAUUAUCACUGCACUUCUCUCCCAGUUUGCACCAGUGGGUUGGAGUAAGACAAUCACCUUCCCCUCUCUGUGCUCCUGCAGUUGGUGAGGCUCCUUGGUGGGGCACCAAAGAUUGGGAGGGAAGUGUUUUAUUGCCUUCAAGGUUUUUCACCUGUUUUUGUUGCCUAACUUUGGAUAGAGAGAAUUUUGCCCACCAUUGUGAGUUCUCAUGAAUGAAGUCUGAAGGACUUCCCAAGGAGAUGUAGAUAUCUGCUUACUGCAAAAGGAGCAUCUUCCAUGUCUGUUUGGAUAAAGGGUAGAAAAAACCCUCAGUUCUUCAAUGGACUUUCUGGACAGCCCAUGUACAAUUGACAUCUCCUGUAAUGCCACAGAAGGAAGCAACAUCUCUGACCUUUCCUCCCCACUUUAUCUGGCUCUAUGUCUGUCAAAGAUCUCUUGUCUGCUUUUCACAGUGACAGAGCUGCAUCAGAUAUGCCCACCAGAGUCACUGGCUCUUGACCAGCUGUAUGUUCAUUUCACUUGCCUGCAAGCUUGGAGGGGUCUGAAGAUGAGGCAAUAGGCUGUAACUGUCUUGGAUACUGGAUUUUACUGUGGAUACUGGAUUUUACUGUGUCCUUAUCUUGAUGACUGGUGAGCAGCUGGACUAUCCAAGAAUGAGGAGUUUUGGGCAACUGGUCAAUGCUCACAGUCUUUUUCAUCUCGCUUUUGUGAGAUUGAUAAAUGUCAUGUGAUUCACCGAUGCCUGUGAAAGGAUAACUCUUGGUCUGAAGGAGAAUCAUAGAAUCAUUAAGGUUGGAAGAGACCUUCAAGAUCAUCUGGUCGAACCAUCACCCUACUACAAAUGUCACCCACUAAACCAUGUCUUAAAAUUGUGUUGGAGCCCAGUUGUUCUCAGGAAAGUUCUGUAGAAAUCAAUUUCUUACAGGUUCUCAGAUCCUGCUGUUCCCAUUAAAGUUCAUUUGACAUAAGACAGCAUGGUGAGAAAUUUCCUGGACAAAUUACAGAAUCACAGAAUGUUUGAAGUCAGAAGGGACUUCUGGAGGUCAUCUGGCCCAACCCUUGCUCAAGCAAGGCCACGCAGAGCAGCUUGCCCAGGACCACAUCCAGAAGACUUUUGAAGAUUUCCAACUUUUGUUGAUUUCCACAACAUCUCUGGGCAACCUUUAUGUUAAAGAAGCGCUUCCUGAUGCUUGGAAGAGACUUCUCGUGCUUCUUCUUGUCAUGUCACUGGGCACCACUGAAAAGAGCCUGACUCUGUCCUCUUUGUGCCCUUCUUUCAGGUGUUUAUAGACAUUGAUGUGAUCCCCCUCGUCUUCUCCAGGCUAAACAGUCCCAGCUCUCUCAGCCCCUCCUCACAGUGGAGGUGCUUCUAUAGAAACUUUUUUUCUAAAUCAUUCUAUAGAGUGGUGACCACUGUAUAAAUCUGUGCACAUCACUGAAUUAAAACUCAGUUAUAAACAACAUAAGUAUUGUAAUAAAUAAUAUUAUUUGGAAAAAAUAAUACUAAUUGAAGUGUCCUGAGGAGGAGAUCCAGUGUGCAGCUUGCAGAACAAUUGGUUCCUUUGCAGCUCUCUUUCCCAAUGCCUCCUUCCCUCCUGGAGUCAGCCUCCCAAUGCAUCCCCAUGGCUAAAUGCCCAGGGAAGCCAACAGCUCCAGGGCAGAUUCUUCCAUUGCUACAGGAGAGUGCAGGAUUCAUGUCCAUGAAGCACACCAGCAGGCCUGAGGUGUCUGAAUUACUUUAUUAAACCUGUAUCUUGUCUCCAUCCAACCCAUCAGACCCAUAGAAACAAUCCUCAAUGUUGGCACCAGCAGAAGGAGGCAACGGAAGGAAACAUUUAGCAGCUCCUUGUCAUUAGCAAAAGGCUGAUGUUGUCCAUAGCAAAAGGCUGAUGCUGUCCAUAACUUCACAGAAUCACACAACGGUUUGGAUUGGAUUAUAAAGAUCAUCCAAUUCCACCUCCCUUCCCUUCCCUUCCCUUCCCUUCCCUUCCCUUCCCUUCCCUUCCCUUCCCUUCCCUUCCCUUCCC
This 3518-nucleotide long non-coding RNA is filed under the name Anas platyrhynchos (mallard). RNAcentral's name for it is "lncRNA (ENSAPLG00020005138.1)". Lineage: Eukaryota; Metazoa; Chordata; Aves; Anseriformes; Anatidae. The record is from RNAcentral.